RNAcentral lists this long non-coding RNA (1298 nucleotides) under Gallus gallus (chicken). RNAcentral's name for it is "long non-coding RNA NONGGAT001124". Lineage: Eukaryota; Metazoa; Chordata; Aves; Galliformes; Phasianidae. The record is from RNAcentral.
CUCUGUUCUCCAGCCUCGUUACAUGGGUUUCUGUCUCUCCUCAGCAUCCCCUUGAAUGGCAUCUACUGCACGGAGUGCCUUCCUUGCCUCUAGUUAAGAUUUAUACCGACUGCCGCUCUGCUUACUACGGUUGAGAGGAUGGGUGAUAUGGCCUAACAGGGUGGAAGUAUUGAUCGAAAUGAAACUUUGACAAAUGGCUGGAACAGAAUCUUGAGAAAGUUCCUUGACUGUUCCUUUCCAUUCAAAAAGAGAAUUUCAGAGUAAAUUUGAUCAGUUCAAUUGUUCAAAGGAAAUGGAAAGAACAGGAGAGUGGAAGUUCAGUAGUAGCAGGAACACAGAAGUCAUAAGGCUGACCUAGACAAUGGGAAGAUGCAGAAUAUUUUAGUAACGUGCUGUAGUAACUGUCACCUGCAAAAUGUCCAUCAGCACUUCUGCAAAUUCUUUCCACCAUUCUCAACAAGAUAACAAAAGGUAAGCCUAGUUGCAGACAUUGAGACUUUGGUUUUUCUCACCUUCCUCUUAACCUCUUUUGCCAAGACACAUCUGGGUCCUUCUCUGAAUAGACACCUCUGGGUUCAAAGCCACAGAAUGAGAUGACUGAGGCUCGGGUGGGAUAUAGAUAUCAAGGCUAGGAAUUCCAGUCCACACAUCUGCAGAGUUCAUCACCUGUAUUUUGCUAAUAAAGAUCCCAAGACAUCUAACAUCUUUCUCACGCUUGUGCUUGUUGGCCAGGCAGUCACCAGCUUAACUGGGCUGAACUGUAGCAAAACCUCUUCAAAAAGCAUCCUGGCAAAGCAUGUGUAACACACAGCGAGGAUUGGGCAGCACAUAACAUACAGCAGCUGUCUUCACUUUGCUUCAAAGUAAAUAUCUUCAAUGCCCACCUGAGCUUUGGGGAUUUCAAGCCCUUAUCUCUUAUCUGCAAAGAGAGCAGGGACUCUGGCCAGGAAGCUACGAGUAUUCAAGGGGGAAGAUAUUUUCUAUACUUCCUGCAUACCAUGUAGUGGUACUCACAUGCAUGUGGUUCUCUGGGAGGAGUUUAAAGCAAUAAGGUGGAGGAUAGGAUACGUUUUCCAUCCCUCCCUGUGCUGACUUAGCUUGUUCUACACUUAGCUGUUUUGGAUUGGCACAAGAUAGAGGAUUUUGUUCGGUAUGCUCACUGCUGUGUAAGGUGUUUCAAAAAUAUUGGCUUUGCAGCCUAAUGAAAAUACAGGGAUUUUUCAGAAAAAUCAGUAGAACCUAUCCUCUACGGAUACGCAGAUGUAGCGAUUAUUGGAGUUUUAAUUAAAAUAGCAGGU